GCUUGCUCUCGGGUGACGAGCGGCGGACGGGUGAGUAAUGUCUGGGAAACUGCCUGAUGGAGGGGGAUAACUACUGGAAACGGUAGCUAAUACCGCAUAACGUCGCACGACCAAAGUGGGGGACCUUCGGGCCUCAUGCCAUCAGAUGUGCCCAGAUGGGAUUAGCUAGUAGGUGGGGUAAUGGCUCACCUAGGCGACGAUCCCUAGCUGGUCUGAGAGGAUGACCAGCCACACUGGAACUGAGACACGGUCCAGACUCCUACGGGAGGCAGCAGUGGGGAAUAUUGCACAAUGGGCGCAAGCCUGAUGCAGCCAUGCCGCGUGUAUGAAGAAGGCCUUCGGGUUGUAAAGUACUUUCAGCGAGGAGGAAGGCGUUAAGGUUAAUAACCUUAGUGAUUGACGUUACUCGCAGAAGAAGCACCGGCUAACUCCGUGCCAGCAGCCGCGGUAAUACGGAGGGUGCAAGCGUUAAUCGGAAUUACUGGGCGUAAAGCGCACGCAGGCGGUUUGUUAAGUCAGAU
Molecule: ribosomal RNA, 521 nt
Filed under: Klebsiella planticola
Lineage: Bacteria; Pseudomonadati; Pseudomonadota; Gammaproteobacteria; Enterobacterales; Enterobacteriaceae
Description: bacterial SSU rRNA
Rfam family: Bacterial small subunit ribosomal RNA
Source: RNAcentral